UUUGGUCAUUAGAGGAAGUAAAAGUCGUAACAAGGUCUCCGUUGGUGAACCAGCGGAGGGAUCAUUACAGAGUUAUCCAACUCCCAAACCCAUGUGAACAUAUCUCUUUGUUGCCUCGGCGCAAGCUACCCGGGACCUCGCGCCCCGGGCGGCCCGCCGGCGGCUCGCGCCCCGGGCGGCCCGCCGGCGGUGUUAUCUCGUUGAUUAUCUGAGUGUCUUAUUUAAUAAGUCAAAACUUUCAACAACGGAUCUCUUGGUUCUGGCAUCGAUGAAGAACGCAGCGAAAUGCGAUAAGUAAUGUGAAUUGCAGAAUUCAGUGAAUCAUCGAAUCUUUGAACGCACAUUGCGCCCAUUAGUAUUCUAGUGGGCAUGCCUGUUCGAGCGUCAUUUCAACCCCUAAGCACAGCUUAUUGUUGGGCGUCUACGUCUGUAGUGCCUCAAAGACAUUGGCGGAGCGGCAGCAGUCCUCUGAGCGUAGUAAUUCUUUAUCUCGCUUCUGUUAGGCGCUGCCCCCCCGGCCGUAAAACCCCCAAUUUUUUCUGGUUGACCUCGGAUCAGGUAGGAAUACCCGCUGAACUUAAGCAUAUCAAUAAGCGGAGGA
Molecule: ribosomal RNA, 601 nt
Filed under: fungal sp. P4E5
Lineage: Eukaryota; Fungi
Description: eukaryotic LSU rRNA
Rfam family: 5.8S ribosomal RNA (bases 234-387)
Source: RNAcentral